CGGGUGAGUAACACGUGGAUAACCUACCUAUAAGACUGGGAUAACUUCGGGAAACCGGAGCUAAUACCGGAUAAUAUUUUGAACCGCAUGGUUCAAAAGUGAAAGACGGUCUUGCUGUCACUUAUAGAUGGAUCCGCGCUGCAUUAGCUAGUUGGUAAGGUAACGGCUUACCAAGGCAACGAUGCAUAGCCGACCUGAGAGGGUGAUCGGCCACACUGGAACUGAGACACGGUCCAGACUCCUACGGGAGGCAGCAGU
Molecule: ribosomal RNA, 258 nt
Filed under: uncultured Staphylococcus sp.
Lineage: Bacteria; Bacillati; Bacillota; Bacilli; Caryophanales; Staphylococcaceae
Description: partial 16S ribosomal RNA
Rfam family: Bacterial small subunit ribosomal RNA
Source: RNAcentral